Molecule: long non-coding RNA, 3861 nt
Filed under: Cricetulus griseus (Chinese hamster)
Lineage: Eukaryota; Metazoa; Chordata; Mammalia; Rodentia; Cricetidae
Description: lncRNA (ENSCGRG00015040918.1)
Source: RNAcentral
CCUCGGCUCCUGCUCCAGCGGCAAGAUGUGAUCCACCAGCUAGGAGGGACGCCAAUAAGGCGUCCGAUAAGAUAAGUCUUAUAAAAUAUAUAGAUUUAUGAUGAUUGAUACUGAGCUAACAGAUAAAAAUCCUAGUCAUUGGCCAAGCAACAUUGUAACUAAUACAAGUCUCUCUGUGUAUUCAUUUGGGCCUAACUUGGGCAGGCGGCUGCCAUAAAGCUUACACGUGGCGGUGGGGCUCAGCGGCUUUUGGCAGAAAGAUUUAUCAUAACAGUACAGUUUCUGGUAAAAGCCAGAAACUGGAAGCAGCCUAGAUGCCCCUCUACCAAAGAAUGGAUAGAGAAAAUGUGGUACAUUUACACAAUGUACUACAUAGCAGAAAAAAAAAUUGAAUCUUGAAAUUUGCAGGAAAAUGGAUGGAACUCGAAGAAACCAUUCUGAGCAAGGUAACCCAAUCACAAAAAGACAAACAUGAUAUGUACUCACUCAUAUGUGAAUUUUAGACAUAGAGUAAUGAUUACCAGCCUACAAUCCACACUGCCAGAGAAACUAGUAAACAAGGAGGACCCUAAAAGAGACAAACAUUGUCCCCUGGAGAAGGGUAAAGGGUCACCAUCCCCUGAGCAAAUUGAGAGCACGGGAAGAGUGGGGAGGAAGCUACAAGAAUGAGAAGGGGAGCAGAGAGGGGUGCAGAGGUCAUGAGGGAGCAGAAAGGUUGAGUCAGGUAAAGAAUAGAAGAAAGGAUAUGUGAUAGGUAGGGUUUUAGUUGGGGAGGUGGUAGGGGAGGAAGGGAGGGAGAAGGGAACUGGGAUUGUCAUGUAAAUCAAUCUUGUUUCUAAUUCAAAUAAAAAAGAUAAAAAAAAAUCAUAAAAAGAAAAAAUAAAGUACAUAGGAAUAUGAAAAAAAGUAGUGUACAGAAAUAGACAAUUCUCAACAGAGGAAUCUAAAAUGGCUAAAAGGCACAUAAGAAAGUGUUCAACAUCCUUAGCUAUCAGAGAAAUGCAAAUCAGAACAACUCUGAGAUACAAUCUUACCCCUGUCAGAAUGGCCAAAAUAAAAAACACCAAUGACAGUUUAUGCUGGAGAAGAUAUGGAGAAAGGGAAACAACACUUCUCUACUGCUGUUGGGAGUGCCAUCUUGUACAGCCACUUUGAAAAUCAGUAUGGCGACUCCUCAGGAAAAUGCAAAUCAGUCUACCACAAGAUCCAGGAAUCCCACUCUUAGGCAUAUACCCAAAAGAAACACAUUCAUACAACAAGGACAUCUGUUCAAUGAUGUUCAUAGCAGCAUUAUUUGUAAUACCCAGAACCUGGAAGCAACCUAGAUGCCCCUCAUCUGAAGAAUGGAUAGAGAAAAUGUGGUACAUUUACAAAAUGGAGUACUACUCAGGCAGGGGGGGCGGAACAAUGGAAUAUUGAAAUUUGCAGGAAAAUGGAUGGAACUAUAAGAAAACAUUCUGAGCAAGGUAACCCAAUCAUAAAAAGACAAACAUGGUAUGUUCUCACUCAUAUUUUAGACAUAGAGUAAAGGAUUACCAGCCUACAAUCCACACUGCCAGAGAAGCUAGUAAACAAGGAGGACCCUAAGAGAGACAUACAAGGCCCCCUGGAGAAGGGCAAAGGGACAAGAUCUCCUGAGCAAAUUGGGAGCAAGGGAAGAGGGGGGAGGGAGCUAGGAGAAUGAGAAGGGGAGAAGAGGAGGGAUGAGGAGGACAUGAGGGAGCAGAAAGGUUGAGUCAGGGGAAGAAUAGAAGAAAACAAGAAAUGAGAUACCAUAACAGAGGGAGUCAUUUUAGGUUUACAGAGAAAUCAAGCACUAGGGAUAGGUCUGGAGAUCUACCAAGAUAGCACCAACUAACAAUCUAAGCAACAGAGGAGAGGCUAUGUUAAAUGCCUUCCCCUGUUAAUGAGAUUAAUGACUGUGUUAUAUGCCAUCCUUUAGCUUUCAUCAAGCAGCUUGUAGAAGUAGAAGCAGACACCCACAGCUAAUCACUGAACUGAAUCCAGAUGCAGAGAAGGAUGAGUGAAGAGCAAAGGGGUCCAGACCAGGCUGGUGAAACCCACAGAAACUGCUGACCUGAACAAUGGGGGUCUCUUGUUCCCCACACUGAUAGCUGGGAUACCAAUAUAGGACUGAUCCAGACCCCAGGAAAAUGGGUUUCAAUGAGGAGACCUAGGAAAUCUAUGGGACCUCCUGUACUUAUCCCUAGCAUAGCUGUGGACUUUGGGAGCCCAAUCCACAUAGAGGGAUACUCCUUGAGCCAAGACACACAGGGGUGGGCCUAGGCCCUAUCCCAAAGGAUACAAUAGACUCUGAUGACCCCCUACGGAAGGCCUCACCUUCCUGGGGAGCAGAAAGGAUUUGUGAUAGCUAGGAUUUAGUUGGGGGAGGGAAGGUAGGGGGAGCUGAGGGAGUGGGAACUGGGAUUGACAUGUAAAACAAACUUGUUUAUAAUUCAAAUAAAAGAUGGAGAAAAACAAAGAUUGUCACUAAGACACAUUAUUGGGCAGACAAUGGCUAUUUAGGGAAUUAAAUGUUGCUAGAGAUAAGGUAAUUAGCCCCUGGAAAUGAAACACUCUGACCUCUCUAUAAAAGGUAAGUUCCAUUCAGUCAAUCAGUCUCUGUAGACACAGCUUUCCCUAGGAAUUCUCUUUACAUUCUCAGCUCCAUUACUUGAUUUUUUUAAUGUGGAUAUUUUUGCAGGUGAUACAAAAGGAUACAUUACCAUUAAGCCCCAAAUGGUUUCUUAAGAGUGUCUUUUGUUUGCGAAGUGAAUGCAACUUAAGAUUCCUUGUUAAUGAGCCAGGAAAACCAGAAACAGAAAAACAAAUGCUCUGUCUCCCCUCGGAUAUGUAGACACUAAAAAGAACUGAGAUGCAAAAAGAAUUACAGAUGCUGGGAAGGCAGAUAAAUAAGUGUAAGGAGAAUCUUCGUUCUUGGUUUUAUUCUCACAGCUACCUUAUUACUCCAGCAUAAUCUGAAGGCUGAGAGCUCACAUCUUGAACUUCAGGCAUGAAGCAGAAAGAGUACAAACUGGAAAUGACAUGAGCAUUUUACUCUCAAAGUCAACCCCUGGUGACUUGCUUCCUCCAGCAAGAUCGCACAUCUUAUACCUACCCAAACAUUGCCAACAGAGGAACCUAUGAAUGGUAGUCAUUUAAACCACCACAGUGACUAACACAAACAAUUUCAUAGGCUGCACUGGCAAAAUGACAUAUCUACAAAGCACAUCAAAGUGUUGCAUCUAAACUUCUGGUAAGAUUAACUCAAACCUGAUGAUCCAGGGAAAAGUAAGAGAUGGAAAAAAUGAAAAGCCAAAUAAUGGAUUCUACAGUAAUCACUUAUAUACUAAUUCCUGCAUACCUGGUGAAAACUGAUGUAUCUGUUCUCCUGGAAAACACCCAGACAGGAGAACCUUCAAUCAGGUAUUCAGUACUUGUUUAAUAUUGAUGGAAGCAGAGGCAGACACCCACAGAUAUACACUGAACAGAACUCUGGAAACCAGUUGCAGAGAGGGAGGAAUGAAGAUCAAAGGGGACAGUACCAGGUUGGUGAAACCCACAGAAACAGCUGGCCUGAACAAGGGGGAGCACAUGGACCCCUGACUGCUUUCUGGGAGGCCAGCACAGGACUGAUCCAGACCCCUGAAAAUGGAUGUCAAUGAGGAGGCCUCCAAACUCUAGGGAGACCCUGGUAGUGGAUUAGUAUUUUUCCCUGGUGUAAGAAGGGACUUUGAGAGCCCAUCCCACUUGAAGGGAUGCAGUCUUGCCCUGGACACUUAGGGGAGGGCUUAGGCCCAGCCCAGAAUGAUGUGGUGGACUUUGGGGACCCCCUAUGAGGGCCCUACCCUGCCUGGGGAG